UAAUAGCAUAUAUUAAAUUUGUUGCGGUUGAACGCUCGUAGUUUAUUUUCUAAAGAACCUAUGGUUUGAAUUUGAUGUUUACACACUUUUAAAGAUUGUGUAAAUUUGCCCCUUUGAAGCAAUGAUAACGGUCGACCUUUAUGUUUCAAAGCAUGGAACGGACGUGUACGUACAUGAUAUUUGUAUUUAUUGUUUUGCAUGUCAGUGAAAUAACAGUUAUGAAACAUUGGAAGUACUUAUAUUCAGCUGUCAGAGGUGAAAUUCUUGGACCAGCUGAGGAUAAUCAGAGGCUAAUGCAUUACUGAAAGUUUAUUAGUUUAUCAAGAACGUAAGUUGAGGGUUCGAAGAUGAUUAGAUACC
This 360-nucleotide ribosomal RNA is filed under the name uncultured eukaryote. RNAcentral describes it as "bacterial SSU rRNA". It matches the Rfam family "Eukaryotic small subunit ribosomal RNA", at positions 592 to 1016 of the family's 1831-position model. The record is from RNAcentral.